RNAcentral lists this ribosomal RNA (500 nucleotides) under uncultured Glomeromycotina. Its description in RNAcentral is "partial small subunit ribosomal RNA". It matches the Rfam family "Eukaryotic small subunit ribosomal RNA", at positions 591 to 1092 of the family's 1831-position model. The record is from RNAcentral. Lineage: Eukaryota; Fungi; Glomeromycota.
CCAAUAGCGUACAUUAAAGUUGUUGCAGUUAAAAAGCUCGUAGUUGAAUUUCAGGCCUGGCUGGACGGUCCGCCCUUCGGGUGAGUACUGUCUGUGGUCGGGUCCUACCUUCUGGCGAAGCGUCAUGGCCUUAACCGGCCGUGGCGGGGAACCAGGACUUUUACUGUGAAAAAAUUAGAGUGUUCAAAGCAGGCAAUCGCUUGGAUACAUUAGCAUGGAAUAAUGGAAUAGGACAAUGGUUCUAUUUGUUGGUUUCUAGGACCGUUGUAAUGAUUAAUAGGGAUAGUUGGGGGCAUUAGUAUUCAAUUGUCAGAGGUGAAAUUCUUGGAUUUAUUGAAGACUAACUACUGCGAAAGCAUUUGCCAAGGAUGUUUUCAUUAAUCAAGAACGAAAGUUAGGGGAUCGAAGACGAUCAGAUACCGUCGUAGUCUUAACCAUAAACUAUGCCGACUAGGGAUCGGACGCAGUUAAUUUUAUAAUGACGUGUUCGGCACCUUACG